UACGGAAAGGCAGCAGUGGGGAAUAUUGCACAAUGGGCGAAAGCCUGAUGCAGCUAUGCCGCGUGUAUGAAGAAGGCCUUAGGGUUGUAAAGUACUUUCAUCGGGGAGGAAAAACAAAACUAAUAAUUUUAUUUCUUGACGUUACCCGAAAAAGAAGCACCGGCUAACUCCGUGCCAGCAGCCGCGGUAAUACGGAGGGUGCUAGCGUUAAUCAGAAUUACUGGGCGUAAAGAGCACGUAGGUGGUUUUUUAAGUCAGAUGUGAAAUCCCUGGGCUUAACCUGGAACUGCAUUUUGAAACUGAAAUACUAGAGUAUCGUAGAGGGAGGUAGAAUUCUAGGUGUAGCGGUGAAAUGCGUAGAUAUCUGGAGGAAUACCUGUGGCGAAAGCGGCCUCCUAAACGAAUACUGACACUGAGGUGCGAAAGCGUGGGGAGCAAACAGGGAUUAGAUACC
RNAcentral lists this ribosomal RNA (454 nucleotides) under uncultured bacterium. RNAcentral's name for it is "bacterial SSU rRNA". It matches the Rfam family "Bacterial small subunit ribosomal RNA", at positions 340 to 786 of the family's 1533-position model. The record is from RNAcentral.